AGAUCUCCCACCCGUGUGUAUCAUUA
This 26-nucleotide ribosomal RNA is filed under the name uncultured Lachnum. Its description in RNAcentral is "partial 18S ribosomal RNA". Lineage: Eukaryota; Fungi; Ascomycota; Leotiomycetes; Helotiales; Hyaloscyphaceae. The record is from RNAcentral.